GAUUAGGGCGGACGGGUGGUAACGCCUGGGUAACCUGCCCUAAGACUGGAAUACCUCCGGGAAACCGGGGCUAUUACCGGAUAAGUUUUGAACCGCAUGGUUCGAAAUUGAAAGGCGGCUUCGGCUGACGCUUAUGGAGGACCCGCGUCGCAUUAGCUAUUUGGUGAGGUAACGGCUCACAUCCGCAACUAUGCUUAGCCGACCUGAGAGGGUGAUCGGCCCACUGGGACUGAGCACGGCCCAGAUCCUACGGGAGGCAAUAUUGCGGAAUCUUCCGCAAUGUCUGACGGAGCAACGCCGCGUGAGUGAUGAAGGUUUCGGGUUUAAAACUCUGUUGUUAGGAGAACAAGUGCUAGUUGAAUAUGCUGGCACCUUGAGGUACCUAACCAGAGCCACGGCUAACUACGUGCCAACAGCCGCGGUAAUACGUAGGUGGCAAACGUUAUCCGGAAUUAUUGGGCGUAAAGCGCGCGCAGGUGGUUUCUUAAAUCUGAUGGGAAAGCCCACGGCUCAGCCGUGGGUCAUUGGAAAU
Molecule: ribosomal RNA, 532 nt
Filed under: Bacillus sp. (in: firmicutes)
Lineage: Bacteria; Bacillati; Bacillota; Bacilli; Caryophanales; Bacillaceae
Description: bacterial SSU rRNA
Rfam family: Bacterial small subunit ribosomal RNA
Source: RNAcentral